GGCACCCUACGGGGGGCAGCAGUGGGGAAUAUUGCACAAUGGGGGAAACCCUGAUGCAGCGACGCCGCGUGAGUGAAGAAGCGACUCGGCGCGUAAAGCCCUGUCAGCAGGGAAGAAAAUGACGGUACCUGAAGAAGAAGCCCCGGCUAACUACGUGCCAGCAGCCGCGGUAAUACGUAGGGGGCAAGCGUUAUCCGGAUUUACUGGGUGUAAAGGGAGCGUAGACGGCAGGGCAAGUCUGGAGUGAAAGGCGGGGGCUCAACCCCCGGACUGCUCUGGAAACUGCCAGGCUGG
Molecule: ribosomal RNA, 294 nt
Filed under: uncultured bacterium
Lineage: Bacteria
Description: partial 16S ribosomal RNA
Rfam family: Bacterial small subunit ribosomal RNA
Source: RNAcentral